Molecule: long non-coding RNA, 234 nt
Organism: Bactrocera latifrons
Lineage: Eukaryota; Metazoa; Arthropoda; Insecta; Diptera; Tephritidae
Exons: 3
Source: RefSeq, a predicted model, not a curated record
AGCAUCCAAUCGAUUAAAAGUCCAGUUCCAGUCUCCCGGUAACGAUAUGUACUAACGGAAUAUUUUUGGUUUUAGAUGAACUAAGAAUUUUAGACGAACCAACCCUUUUUUUGUGAGACACCAAGCCUUUCUGGCUGAGUGCAUAUGAUAACCAAGUUUUGCAGUUUUUAAAAGCUGUAACCAAGCACAAACAUUUGUCGAAAAAGAGUUUAAAUAAAAUAUAUUCUUUGCUCA